AGUGAACGCUGGCGGUAGGCCUAACACAUGCAAGUCGAACGGCAGCACAGUAAGAGCUUGCUCUUACGGGUGGCGAGUGGCGGACGGGUGAGGAAUACAUCGGAAUCUACUUUUUCGUGGGGGAUAACGUAGGGAAACUUACGCUAAUACCGCAUACGACCUACGGGUGAAAGCAGGGGAUCUUCGGACCUUGCGCGAUUGAAUGAGCCGAUGUCGGAUUAGCUAGUUGGCGGGGUAAAGGCCCACCAAGGCGACGAUCCGUAGCUGGUCUGAGAGGAUGAUAAGCCACACGGGAGCGGGGACACGGUCAAGACGCCUACGGGAGGCAGCAGUGGGGAAUAUUGGACAAUGGGCGCAAGCAUGAUCCAGCCAUACCGCGUGGGUGAAGAAGGCGUUCGGGUUGUAAAGACCUUUUGUUGGGAAAGAAAAGCAGCAGGUUAAUACCCCGCUGUUCUGACGGUACCCAAAGAAUAAGCACCGGCUAACUUCGUG
RNAcentral lists this ribosomal RNA (492 nucleotides) under uncultured bacterium. RNAcentral describes it as "partial 16S ribosomal RNA". It matches the Rfam family "Bacterial small subunit ribosomal RNA", at positions 29 to 507 of the family's 1533-position model. The record is from RNAcentral.